GAUGAACGCUGGCGGCGUGCCUAAUACAUGCAAGUCGAGCGAACGGACGAGAAGCUUGCUUCUCUGAUGUUAGCGGCGGACGGGUGAGUAACACGUGGAUAACCUACCUAUAAGACUGGGAUAACUUCGGGAAACCGUAGCUAAUACCGGAUAAUAUUUUGAACCGCAUGGUUCAAAAGUGAAAGACGGUCUUGCUGUCACUUAUAGAUGGAUCCGCGCUGCAUUAGCUAGUUGGUAAGGUAACGGCUUACCAAGGCAACGAUGCAUAGCCGACCUGAGAGGGUGAUCGGCCACACUGGAACUGAGACACGGUCCAGACGCCUACGGGAGGCAGCAGUAGGGAAUCUUCCGCAAUGGGCGAAAGCCUGACGGAGCAACGCCGCGUGAGUGAUGAAGGUCUUCGGAUCGUAAAACUCUGUUAUUAGGGAAGAACAUAUGUGUAAGUAACUGUGCACAUCUUGACGGUACCUAAUCAGAAAGCCCCGGCUAACUACGUG
RNAcentral lists this ribosomal RNA (497 nucleotides) under uncultured bacterium. RNAcentral's name for it is "partial 16S ribosomal RNA". It matches the Rfam family "Bacterial small subunit ribosomal RNA", at positions 28 to 507 of the family's 1533-position model. The record is from RNAcentral.